CAAAUCUCACUUGUUGUCGUGCGGUGCGCAGUUGGUUGGUCGAAAGAUUGACUGGUGCGCAUUUGCGCCGGCAACCAUUAUACGCUUGUAUUGUUUGACAGAGUUAGUUAUUGGUGAAAAAUGUAGA
RNAcentral lists this unclassified non-coding RNA (127 nucleotides) under uncultured fungus. RNAcentral describes it as "sequence contains ITS1". The record is from RNAcentral. Lineage: Eukaryota; Fungi.